Long non-coding RNA from Balaenoptera musculus (blue whale), 111 nucleotides. RefSeq lists it as uncharacterized. The record is from RefSeq and is a predicted model, not a curated record. NCBI's taxonomy places the organism in Eukaryota, Metazoa, Chordata, Mammalia, Artiodactyla, Balaenopteridae. The transcript is spliced from 3 exons.
UAUACAGUUUAUACCAGUGGUUCUGAAACUUGAGCAUGUAUCAGAAUCCCCUGAAAGACUUGUUAAAACACAGAUUCCUGGGUCCCAUUUUCAGAGUUUCUGAUUUCUAAG